AUGGGACGAAAGUCUGACCGAGCAACGCCGCGUGAGUGAAGAAGGUUUUCGGAUCGUAAAACUCUGUUGUUAGAGAAGAACAAGGACGUUAGUAACUGAACGUCCCCUGACGGUAUCUAACCAGAAAGCCACGGCUAACUACGUGCCAGCAGCCGCGGUAAUACGUAGGUGGCAAGCGUUGUCCGGAUUUAUUGGGCGUAAAGCGAGCGCAGGCGGUUUCUUAAGUCUGAUGUGAAAGCCCCCGGCUCAACCGGGGAGGGUCAUUGGAAACUGGGAGACUUGAGUGCAGAAGAGGAGAGUGGAAUUCCAUGUGUAGCGGUGAAAUGCGUAGAUAUAUGGAGGAACACCAGUGGCGAAGGCGGCUCUCUGGUCUGUAACUGACGCUGAGGCUCGAAAGCGUGGGGAGCAAACAGGAUUAGAUACCCUGGUAGUCCAUA
Molecule: ribosomal RNA, 437 nt
Filed under: Enterococcus faecalis
Lineage: Bacteria; Bacillati; Bacillota; Bacilli; Lactobacillales; Enterococcaceae
Description: bacterial SSU rRNA
Rfam family: Bacterial small subunit ribosomal RNA
Source: RNAcentral